This 253-nucleotide ribosomal RNA is filed under the name uncultured bacterium. RNAcentral's name for it is "partial 16S ribosomal RNA". It matches the Rfam family "Bacterial small subunit ribosomal RNA", at positions 524 to 776 of the family's 1533-position model. The record is from RNAcentral.
UACAGAGGGUGCGAGCGUUAAUCGGAAUUACUGGGCGUAAAGCGUGCGUAGACGGUUGUCUAAGUCGGAUGUGAAAUCCCCGGGCUCAACCUGGGAAUUGCAUUCGAGACUGAACAGCUAGGGUGCGGAAGAGGGAAGCGGAAUUUCCGGUGUAGCAGUGAAAUGCGUAGAUAUCGGAAGGAACAUCAGUGGCGAAAGCGGCUUCCUGGUCCAGCACCGACGUUCAGGCACGAAAGCGUGGGCAGCAAACAGG